RNAcentral lists this ribosomal RNA (253 nucleotides) under uncultured bacterium. RNAcentral's name for it is "partial 16S ribosomal RNA". It matches the Rfam family "Bacterial small subunit ribosomal RNA", at positions 524 to 776 of the family's 1533-position model. The record is from RNAcentral.
UACGGAGGGUGCUAGCGUUAUUCGGAAUUACUGGGCGUAAAGCGUUCGUAGGCGGCUUUGCAAGUUAGAGGUGAAAGCCUGGAGCUCAACUCCAGAACUGCCUUUAAAACUGCAUCGCUUGAAUCCAGGAGAGGUGAGUGGAAUUCCGAGUGUAGAGGUGAAAUUCGUAGAUAUUCGGAAGAACACCAGUGGCGAAGGCGGCUCACUGGACUGGUAUUGACGCUGAGGUACGAAAGCGUGGGGAGCAAACAGG